This 785-nucleotide ribosomal RNA is filed under the name Aerococcus sp. 3417/04. RNAcentral's name for it is "bacterial SSU rRNA". It matches the Rfam family "Bacterial small subunit ribosomal RNA", at positions 29 to 797 of the family's 1533-position model. The record is from RNAcentral. Lineage: Bacteria; Bacillati; Bacillota; Bacilli; Lactobacillales; Aerococcaceae.
CUCAACCACGCUGCAUGCCUAAUACAUGCAAGUCGAGCGAACAGACGAAGUGCUUGCACUUCUGACGUUAGCGGCGAACGGGUGAGUAACACGUAAGGAAUCUACCUAUAAGCGGGGGAUAACAUUCGGAAACGGGUGCUAAUACCGCAUAAUAUCUUCUUCCGCAUGGAAGAAGAUUGAAAGACGGCUCUGCUGUCACUUAUAGAUGACCUUGCGGUGCAUUAGUUAGUUGGUGGGGUAACGGCCUACCAAGGCGAUGAUGCAUAGCCGACCUGAGAGGGUGAUCGGCCACAUUGGGACUGAGACACGGCCCAAACUCCUACGGGAGGCAGCAGUAGGGAAUCUUCCGCAAUGGGCGAAAGCCUGACGGAGCAAUGCCGCGUGAGUGAAGAAGGCCUUCGGGUCGUAAAACUCUGUUAUAAGAGAAGAACAAAUUGUAGAGUAACUGCUACAGUCUUGACGGUAUCUUAUCAGAAAGCCACGGCUAACUACGUGCCAGCAGCCGCGGUAAUACGUAGGUGGCAAGCGUUGUCCGGAUUUAUUGGGCGUAAAGGGAGCGCAGGUGGUUUCUUAAGUCUGAUGUGAAAGCCCACGGCUUAACCGUGGAGGGUCAUUGGAAACUGGGAAGCUUGAGUACAGAAGAGGAAUGUGGAACUCCAUGUGUAGCGGUGGAAUGCGUAGAUAUAUGGAAGAACACCAGUGGCGAAGGCGACAUUCUGGUCUGUUACUGACACUGAGGCUCGAAAGCGUGGGGAGCAAACAGGAUUAGAUACCCUGUUAGUCCA